This 252-nucleotide ribosomal RNA is filed under the name uncultured bacterium. RNAcentral describes it as "partial 16S ribosomal RNA". It matches the Rfam family "Bacterial small subunit ribosomal RNA", at positions 524 to 776 of the family's 1533-position model. The record is from RNAcentral.
UACGUAGGGUGCAAGCGUUAAUCGGAAUUACUGGGCGUAAAGCGUGCGCAGGCGGCUUUGCAAGACAGAUGUGAAAUCCCCGGGCUCAACCUGGGAACUGCAUUUGUGACUGCACGGCUGGAGUGCGGCAGAGGGGAUGGAAUUCCGCGUGUAGCAGUGAAAUGCGUAGAUAUGCGGAGGAACACCGAUGGCGAAGGCAAUCCCCUGGGCCUGCACUGACGCUCAUGCACGAAAGCGUGGGGAGCAAACGGG